UCUUCACAGCUGCGCCUUGCACAGGAUUCGCAAGGGCAAGGUUUCAGUUCUGCAAGCGGCCGCUCAGGAAACGCUGCCUGCCAGCUCUCUGCGGCCACGUCAGCAGAACACAGAGGGCUGAUGCCAGGGAAACUGGGAAGCAGCGGAGAAACCAGACGCCACUCAGGAUGCUCUGGCCUCAGUCAGCCAAUGGCCAUUCCCUCCCACCAGCGACGACAACCAGAGCCGGGUAAGUGGGCGGGCCCCGUUUCAGGAGCGUUUGUUCGACAAUCUCCAGACCACACCGCAAGACCGUGACCAUCUUCCAGGCCACACGGCACCUUCCGGCUCCUGCAGUCCGGAGUCUCCGGGCAUGAGUAAAUCGCUGGAGUUUGGAGCACACGCCCCUCCCCGGAAUCAUGUCCCAGGAUCCCUUUGGAAGCAGGGAAUGUGCUGCUAACGCAACGUCCCUAUCUCUUUCCUGCACCUCAACCCUUGAUCUGGCUUCCACCUGAGGCUCCCAACAGAGGCAAGUACAGACCUGGCAUCAUCUCUCUCUCAUUCUCGCUCUCACUCUCGUUCUGUGUUAACUUAUUCUGAGAUCCCAGAGGCGGCCCUUUGGGAAUGAAGCCAUCCUCCCAUGGGUCCGUCCACUCCAUGGACACUCCCACGGCAGGGAGACACAAAGCCGCUCUUCUCCAAAGACCAGCGCUGCUGUUUGAAGUUCAAGCGACAGCAAUUUCAGUCUUUCCCAAGGCCUUCAAAAGAGGAAGUGGACGCGAGAGCUUUCAACAAUGCUGUUCAAAACACGAGUUUGAACCUCACAUCGUGUCAGCCAGGGUCCCUGGGGAUGGGGAUGGCAUGCGUGAACAGGGAAAUUCGUGAGAAAUUUAGUAAAGAGACUGUAUACAAAGCUGCAGGUAGGAUUCGGGAAGUCAGUUCGGGGGAAGCAGAAUCCUGUGGCUAGCAACAUCCGGGGACCAUUCCCAAAGGUAAUGGGACAGCUACGGGACCCCACAGAGGGUGGUGGCAAUAAGAGGGCCCUGGACAGAUGCUGGGGCCUCCAGGAGGGGGCACACUCCAGCCAUAAGGACCCAGAAGGCAGGGGGAGUGCAGGGCAAAUACUCUGGCUCCCUCUCCUCCUGCCCUCCAGACAGUCCCAUCGGAUGGACCCAGCUGACUCAGCAUCCCACGGUGGGGAGCAGAGCAGAGCGGGCGCAGGCCCGGCUGAGGGGAGCAACAAAUGACAGGUCCUCAACACAAACGCUCGGCGUCUACAACGCACUGGGAAGCAACAAAUUGAGGGCAUAGACAUCAGGGAGUGUCUGGGGCACGGCAGAUGGGGUGCGCACAUCUCACAUCAGAAUGCCCAGCGUUGAGUCCUAGCUCCACUGCCAAUUCCAACUUCCCGCUAACGCAUCUCAGGGAGGCAGCAGGUGAUGGCUCACGCGCGUGGGCCCCUGCCACUCACGUGGGAGACCUGGAUGGAUGCAGUUCCGGGUUCCUGGCUUUGACCAGGCCCAGCUGUUUGCGGGCAUUUGGAGAGUGAACCAGCCAAUGGAAGAUCUCAGUCCAUCUGUCUGUUUCGCCCUCUCUCUCUCUGUCUCUCUGCCUUUCAAAUAAAAUGAAAACAAAUAUUUUUCACACACACAAGAAAGAAAUUAGGAAUAUUUGCACAACCAAAUGGCUUGUUGGUUUUACAGAUAUUUUUAACUUGUUUCCUUUAUAAAAUGAACUUCUCUCUGCAAUAAAAAAAUAGUUUCAUUUGUGGGAAAUGCAGCUUUCUCAGAGGUAAGGGGUGCAAGCUGGGGUACACAUGUCUCCCACACGUCUGCCCCCUCCCCGGGGACCUCCUUGUUGAUGUCCACAUCAGGGGAGGGCAGAGAGUGUCCAGGAAGGUCGCCGGGGAGGAAACAGACACUGCAAAGCUUCAGCAGCCGGCCAGCCAGGCUGCGCAGGCGCAGAUGAGCUCGCGAAGGUGCUCAUGCCGUUUGGCAGCUGCUAAGCUCACACAGGAGACACCAGCUUGGCCUCCCCGAGGGCUCCCCCCGGUAUUCCCAGCGACCUUCACGUUGACCUACAAUCUUAAAGUCCUGGCGCAGCAGGGGCUUUCCCAAAGACAGACACACAGAUCUGUAGCCCCCGGGGACCUAGCCAUGGGAAAGCAUUUUCCAAGGAAAGUCUUCGGAAGAUUUUCCUGCCCGCUGUAAGACAUCAUUGUACAGUCGCAGUUCACUGAUUCUAACUUCACCAAUAAGGCCAGGCCUCCGGCGUCCAGCUGGGAGUCUGCUCAGCUGCAAGGCCCAAGGCCACCCCUAGACCCCAGCCAGAGGGAGACAAAUGGCUGGAUCCACACGUGGCACGCCCUGCUCCACGCGUGGUCACAAAGACAAGAGCCACUGAAUCGUGGCGCGCCUGCAGAGCCCACCCGGUGAUGUCAACCCUCUCCUUUUUUAAAUUUUUUUUGACUCUUUUCUUUUAAUCCCCAACCCUUCCCUGCUCUUCUUGUCCUAUGCUAGCAAGUCACUGUGCCUUUAUGAACUUGAAAAACAGAUCGGGAACUGGACUCCCAGACCUGGACCAGAAGAGCCCGUGGCGAGUGCGGAAGACAGUGUGUCUGAACGAAGCUGUUCGAACAACUGACCUUUUCAGAUGGAUCCCGGCACAAUGUGUCUCUUGGCACCGUCUUGGGGGCCGCAGGGCCUGCUGCUGCCAAGCCUCCCGCUGACAUCUCCUGGAUCCUCCUCAAACACCCAUUAUGCCCAGACCGGUGGCCGUGGACUUGCAGAAUUCUACACCGAGGCUCCGGAGGGUAAAGGACAUCAUAUCUGCAGUUUCCUCUCCUGUGAUUCAAAGACAGAUACAGAAAGCAACCAGGCAAACGUGGUGAAAUGCUAACAUUUGGAGAAUCUGGCUGAAGCGAAAAAAAAAAAAAUUCUUUGUUCUCGUCUUGCAUCUUUUUUUCUUGGUCCCCUUGAUUUUUGACCUCCGGGUUAAUGAAGUUGACACGACGGCUGGAUUCCAGCACUGACUCCAGACUUGAACUGGGUCCUUGAACUGUGUCCUCACUCUGAUUUGCCCCUGUACAGGCCCUGAGCCAAGAGUUUGGUGAAUGAUAAAUUCACCAGCGAGGACGGUCUGCUGGUUUAUUGAGCGCUUACUAUACGUGUCAACCCUGGCACGGCCCUGAGUGCUCUACCUGCCACUCCACUCACUCCCCCCACCCCUGGUCGUAUUUUGAGGUGGGUGUCACUGUCCCCAAGUUACAGGCACAGAAACUGAGCCUCUCAGAGAUGAGCUCAUUUCCCCAGGGUGCCAGCAGCAAUUCAGCGGCGAGGCCAGAACUGAUUCACAGAUCUCUCAGGCUCCGCUGUCCUACACGAAGCAACCCUGACAUCACCAAGGAGACUUCCCAGCAGCUGCUCUCUUGUAAUGCGCCCUGUCUUGCUUCUCCUUUGCUGAAAUGAUUAAAAAAAAAUGCUUCUGAAGCUCGGCUCCCUGGGCCAGUGAACGCCAGAGAUAUGCUGCUGUUGAGAUUCAAAUGACUCAAAAAGUAAGUAGGACUUAAAGACCAGCUCUUCGGCUGCACUAGCCGCAUGUCAGUUCCUCGACAGCUGUGUGUGGCUUGCGGCUGUUGUUACUGGACCGUAGCCAGAUCUGAACAGAGCAGAUUGUACCACAUUUCUAACAUUGCAAAAAAGUUCAAUGCGGGGGGCGGGGGGCGGGGGAGAGCAGGCAGCCUGGGAUGCCCGCAUCCUGUGUUGCAGGGCUUGGGUUGGAGUGCUGCCUCUCCCUCUGAUCCAGGACGCACACCCUGGAGGAAGCAGGUUCCCUGUCACCCGCAUGGAGACUCACAUGGAGUUCCUGGUUCCAGGCUUUGGCCUGGCAGGCCCUCCGCUGCUGUAGGCAAUUGGGGUAUGAACCAGCAGAUGAAAGAUCAAUCCAUCUAUCCACCUACCUACCUAUCUAUCUAUCUAAUCUCUAUCUCUCUGUGCUCUGCCUUUCAAAUAAAUUUUAAAAAGCUCAGUGAGACAAAGCUAUUCCAAAAUAUUUCACACACACUUCACUUCUCAACAUAGCUUUCCAUUCAAAGUCAAUUUUUAAAAAAAUAAAACUCCAGGAGCCAGCAUUGUGUAUAGCAUAGAGAGGGUAAAGCUGCUGCCUGUGAUGCUGGCAUCCCAUGUGGGCACCAGUUCAUAUCCUGGCUGCUCCACUUUUGAUCCAGCUCCCUGCUAAUGGCCUGGGAAAAGCAGUGGAGAUGGUCCAAGUGUUUGGGACCCUGCUGCCUAUGGGGGAGACAGGGAAGAGGCUCCUGGCUUUGGCCUGACCCAGUUCCAGCUGUUGCAGCCAUCUAGGAGAGUGAACAAGCUGAUGGAAGAUCAAUCUCUAUGUCUCUUCCGCUGUAACUCUGCCUUUCAAAUAAAUAAAUAACUCUCUCCUUUAAAAUAUUUAUUUAUUUUAUUUGAAAGGCAGAGUUACGGAGAGGCAGAGAGAGAGAGAAGGGGGGUCUUCCAUCCAUUGGUUCACUCCCCAUAUGGCCCAUCCAAAGCCAGGAUCCAGGAAUUUAUUCUGGGUCUCCCACAUUGGUGCAGGGGCCAUAGCAAAGAGCCAGAUCAGAAGUGAAGUAGCCAGGACUUGAACCCACACCCUUAUGGGAUGCUGGACCUGCACGCAGGGGCUUUACUUGUUAUGACACAGCACUGGCCCCAAUAAAUAACUCUUAAAGAGAGAAAUAAAACUUCAAAUACACAAAAUUGACUUCUCCGUGGUUCUAAUUUGUCACAUGUGAAACAAAAAUGGUCAUGGGAGCAUCACGUGUUAGAGGGAGGCACCUACUGGUAGAUCAUGGAAUUACAACCUAGCACAAUCAGACACUGGAGUCUGCCAUCUGUGGGGUUCCACAGGAUCCACAAGGGUGGGAGAAACCACAAUUGCAGGAAAGCGUCAUGAAUGAAGGGCCAGGAGGAGGAACUGGGCCAGAAAAACCCAUCCAACACCAGUCUGAAGUCUCCAGCAUCACAAGGCUUGUCACCAAGGAGAUAAGAAACAGAUGUUAGUAAUUUGUAUAAAUAAGUAAUUAAUUGAUUUUGACAAUUCCAGAACUCUACCAUGGGGCAUUUUCUUGUCUUGUUGACUUUUAAAACUCAGCAUAGAAAAGGGGUUUAUUGUUUCAAACUUAAAAAAAAAAAAGGUUUAUUUAUUUAAUUGAAAGGCAGGAUACAGACCAGAGGAGAGAGAGAGAGAUCUUCCAUCCGCUGAUUCACUCCCCAAAUGGCUGCAACAACUGGGGCUGGGCCAGGCUGAAGCCAGGAGCCAGAAGCUUCUUCCAGGUCUCCCAUGUGGAUUCAGGGACCCAAGGACUUGGGCCAUCCUCUGCUGUUUUUUCAGGCACGUUAGCAGGCAGCUGGAUCAGAAGCAGAGCAGCCGGGACUCAAACCAGCGCCUAUAUGGGAUGCCAGGGCUGCAGGAAGAAGCUUAACUUUCUAUGAAACAGUGCUGGCCUCUGUUUCAAACUUAACUGACCCAAACUUGUUCAAGAAUGAAGGGAUGUCUGUACUUCGAACAGGAAGACAUCAAGAUGUUCCAGUCUCAGGUAGAGUGUGAAAAGACAGUCUUGUCUGUUCCUUUGGCCAAGGUGGCAGGAAUGAAAGAUGGCUUCCCUGACCAGGAAAUGGACCAGACCCUGAAUGACCCAUAGAUCCACUCAAUUCUCAAACAUUGAUUUGGCUCCUGGUAGCCAGCUGGUGGGGGGUGGGCAGUGGGGGUAGGGGCAGGGAUGAGAAGAGCUGGAGACCGCCUCUCUAAGUCCUGCAUCCAAAGGACCACAGCGGGGGUGUGGUGCUGUGGCACAGCGGGUUAGGCCCCCCUGCCUGCAAUACCAGCAUCUUCUAGCAGAGGGCUGCUUCAAGUCCUCGCUGCUCCAUUUCUGAUGCAGCUCCCCACUGCAUCACUGUCUUUGAAAUCAAUACAAUCUUAUUUAUUUACUUUUUUAAAGAUUUAUUUAUUUACCUGAAAGUCAGAGUUACACAGAGAGAGAAGGAGAGGCAGAGAGAGAGAGAGAGGUCUUCCAUCCACUGGUUCACUCCCCAAUUGGCCACAAUGGCUGGAGCUGCACUGAUUUGAAGCCAGGAGCCAGGAACUUCUUCCACUUCUCUCACGUGGGUGCAGGGGCCAAGCACUUGGGCCAUCUUCCACUGCUUUCCCAGGCAAUAGCAGAGAGCUGGAUCGGAAGUGGAGCAGCUGGGACUUGAACUGGUGCCCAUAUGGGAUGCCGACACUGCAGGUGGUGGCUUUAUCUGCUACGCCACAGC
This is a long non-coding RNA of Oryctolagus cuniculus (rabbit), 6290 nucleotides long. RefSeq lists it as uncharacterized. NCBI's taxonomy places the organism in Eukaryota, Metazoa, Chordata, Mammalia, Lagomorpha, Leporidae. The record is from RefSeq and is a predicted model, not a curated record.